This 72-nucleotide transfer RNA is filed under the name Caudoviricetes sp. RNAcentral describes it as "tRNA-Gln". It matches the Rfam family "tRNA". Rfam says of the family: Transfer RNA (tRNA) molecules are approximately 80 nucleotides in length. Lineage: Duplodnaviria; Heunggongvirae; Uroviricota; Caudoviricetes. The record is from RNAcentral.
UGGGCUAUCGCCAAGCGGUAAGGCUCAGCACUUUGACUGCUGAAUUCGUGGGUUCGAAUCCCACUAGCCCAG